ACGGGAGGCAGCAGUCGGGGAUAUUGCGCAAUGGAGGAAACUCUGACGCAGUGACGCCGCGUAUAGGAAGAAGGUUUUCGGAUUGUAAACUAUUUUAGACAGGGAAGACAAUGACAGUACCUGUAGAAUAAGCUCCGGCUAACUACGUGCCAGCAGCCGCGGUAAUACGUAGGGAGCAAGCGUUAUCCGGAUUUAUUGGGUGUAAAGGGUGCGUAGACGGGAAAUCAAGUUAGUUGUGAAAGCCCCUGGCUUAACUGAGGAACUGCAACUAAAACUAAUUUUCUUGAGUGCAGGAGAGGAAAGCGGAAUUCCUAGUGUAGCGGUGAAAUGCGUAGAUAUUAGGAGGAACACCAGUGGCGAAGGCGGCUUUCUGGACUGUAACUGACGUUGAGGCACGAAAGUGUGGGGAGCAAACAGGAUUAGAUACCCUGGUA
RNAcentral lists this ribosomal RNA (434 nucleotides) under uncultured Acetivibrio sp. Its description in RNAcentral is "bacterial SSU rRNA". It matches the Rfam family "Bacterial small subunit ribosomal RNA", at positions 341 to 792 of the family's 1533-position model. The record is from RNAcentral. Lineage: Bacteria; Bacillati; Bacillota; Clostridia; Acetivibrionales; Acetivibrionaceae.